This is a non-coding RNA of Chrysemys picta bellii (western painted turtle), 242 nucleotides long. The record is from RefSeq and is a predicted model, not a curated record. NCBI's taxonomy places the organism in Eukaryota, Metazoa, Chordata, Testudines, Emydidae.
CAACCCAUUUGGCCGGAAUCUGUGAGGAUUAUGAAAAUUGGGACAAUUUAUGUUUUGUGUAAGACUGACACAGAUGCUCCUGAAAACAGGGAGAGUCAAUUUUUCAGGGACACAAGCCAACUCUGCUGGAAGUGUUAAGGAGGACAUUGACAAGUGACCAGACAUCCAAGUGGAAGAUGGGUGACUUCUGGCUACCUAGUCACAGGUAAAUCCACAGCCAUUAUCCUUGGAGAAAGAGGGCA